Molecule: long non-coding RNA, 229 nt
Filed under: Elaeis guineensis (African oil palm)
Lineage: Eukaryota; Viridiplantae; Streptophyta; Magnoliopsida; Arecales; Arecaceae
Description: long non-coding RNA (EGUI_LNC015889)
Source: RNAcentral
ACAUCUUUAUAAUACUAAAUUUAAGAUAAAAAAUUAUUCUUUAGGAUGUACUCAUAUAGUAAAGGGUGAUAAAUUUAAUAAAGUUCCAUAUUCAAGAAUUAAGAUAAAAAAAAUAAAAUAAAAGUCAUAAUCUAUACAUCUGUUGUUGGAAAUUUAAUAUAUGCCCAUAUUUGUAUGCAUCUAGAUAUUAUUUUGGUGUAUCAAUAUUUGGACUUAUCAACGUGAUCCA